Long non-coding RNA from Peromyscus californicus insignis, 3963 nucleotides. RefSeq lists it as uncharacterized. The record is from RefSeq and is a predicted model, not a curated record. The transcript is spliced from 3 exons. NCBI's taxonomy places the organism in Eukaryota, Metazoa, Chordata, Mammalia, Rodentia, Cricetidae.
GAGAAAGCCUCCGCCCCGGAAACGGUUCCGGGUGCGCCGGGCCUGCCGCGGCCGCUGCCACGGGGCUGCACUACGGUCUGGGGGCUGCCCCGGCCAGGGCUGCCGAGUCCUGCGGCUCCAGGGAGCAGGCCACGCGGGCCGAGUCCUGCAGGCCCGCCCUUCAGACUUUGCCUGAUUGAAUUUGUUGGUCUUGGAGGCCCAAGGGACUCGACUGCUCCGGAGCUUGGACAGGUGCCUUGUGGACCUGGCUCUUCUGAAGGUAGCAUUACCAGCUUGGCUGAUAGACUAGGAAGACAGUAAUUCAUGGCUGAGUAAACUUAACAUGGACAUUUUGGAACCAGGCAAACCCUACAGGAAUCAUCCUCACUGACAACCUGUACACUUGAAAAUACUGGGCCUAUCAUGUUAUUCACUUAUCUACUUUUCUUCUCUUAUUCCUCCUCCUCUUUCCUGUCUUCUGUCCCUCAACAUCCUCCUUCCACAGUAUUGAGGAUUUAACUUAGGGUAUGCUAGUAUUUGCAUACUAGUCAAACACUCUACAACUAAGUGUAGUGAACAGGAAAGUGGGGACUUAAAACAGACAGACACUGACCAAGAAGAGAAUUUAACAGACUUUAUAUAUGUAUCAGGAACCAAAUGUUAGGAAACAGAAUGGCAGAUCUGAGUUUUGCUAGAACUUGGUAGAGUUUCUAGAUAAUGUUCCUCUAUUCCUGCUCAAAGUGGCUUCCAGACCACCAUUUAGAACACUUCUCUCUCUCUCUGUCUCUCUCUGUCUCUGUCUCUCUGUCUCUCUGUCUCUCUGUCUCUCUGUCUCUCUGUCUCUCUGUCUCUCUCUCUCUCUCUCUCUCUCUCUCUCUCUCUCUCUCUCUCUCUCUCUUUUUUAGGUUAAGUCAUUUGACCUGAGAAAUUUUCUAUGCACAUGUAUCUUGUGCCCACUUUACAAUAACGUUUCAAAACUCUCAAAUGAUAGCACUUAGUCCCAAGAUUCUAACCUACCACAUUCUCCCUCUGAUUCAAAGAGUAAGAAGUUACUCUUAGAAGUCUAGAACCAGAAGUUCCUGGGGAAGGAGAGCAGGGGAAAGUCUUUAUUAUAAGCUAUCUUACAGAUUUCAAAGGAAGAAGGGAGUCAGAGCUGUGACUUGCUGUCACUCUAGUAAGGAGAAGAAACAGAUUCCCAAAUCCACUGGUCCUUGGCAAAACAGGAUAUAGAUUAACAUCCCCGAGGAAAGGAGAGGCAGAGCACUGAUGAAGGCAGUUUUGCACGUUUCUUAGCAUGGUAAGGGCAGCUAGGGAAAGGGCUGGCUCCAGCGGAUUUUGUGAUGUAACACUGACAGAACGCUGUUCCUCAGCAGAAAGCAAUUCCUCACUUUAAUCUCGGUCAGUAAGAAGAUGGAUCCCAGCUUGAGCCACACUAAAGCAGAGUGGGGGUUUCUGCCAAGUCCCACUUAGCAGGACCUACCCAGACAAACUGAAUUUGCAGAUGGGACUUUAAGGGCCAGCUAAUCAAAGCCUCAUCAAAAGCUUCUUCCUUCUACGCUGUCUUGCCGAACACAACGAACCAUGUGGCAAGGUAUAGAUUUAUAGAAAUGGAUUAAUUUAAGCUGUAAGAACAGUUAGCAAGAAGCCUGCCACGGCCAUACAGUUUGUAACAAAAAAAAAAAAAAAAAAAAGGCGGGACAAGGAGGAGAAUAAAGCUGGGAAGUGGAAGGCUGAGUCAGAGAGACACUGCCAGCCGCCAUGAUGAGAAACAGCAUGUGAAGAUGCCGGUAAGUCACGAGCCAUGUGGCAAGGUAUAGAUUAAUGGAAAUGGAUUAAUUUAAGCUGUAAGAACAGUUAGCAAGAAGCCUGCCAUGGCCAUACAGUUUGUAAGCAAUAUAAGUCUCUGUGUUUACUUGGUCGGGUCUGAGCGGCUGUGGGACGGGCGGGUGAGAGAGAUUUGCCCGGACUGUGGGCCAGGCAGGAAAACUUAAGCUACAAAUGGCGUCCAACGUGGUGGCAAGAGUUUCCACCUAAAACCUGAGAAAAAAGAUUCUAAAAUGGAGCUAAAAACAGUUCCUAAUUGUCUCUCUCAAAUGAGCGGCAGCUGCCGGUUUGAGCUACUUGUGGGUUCCUAGCUCGAUCUGCUGUAUGGCGGGAAUGAGGCCUCUGCAAGUGGCACAUUAAGCUGCAUGGUGGAUUUAGACUUUGCUAGUACAAAACAAAAAAAGAGGUUUCUGGGCUACACGCUGCUUGGAUAAAAGCAUAGACCCACGAUAGCUCCCAGAGCUGGUGGAAAAUGUACUACUGCCAUGUUGGGAAGCUGAGGUGGGCGGAGUCAGCAGCCACAGCUGUUGCAGUUUAAAGCAAUAGAUUUACAAUAAGACAGAUUCAGAUGUAAUAGUUUACAAUGUGUGUAAAAUAUACGUAGGUUUGAAAGAGACAAAAAAAGGUGAUAUAUACAGUUAUAUAAACAAAUACAUAGUUUUAAAAAAUAAAGUCUUUAAAGAUACAGUAAAAUUAAUAUAAAAAAUAAGCCAUGUGAAGAUGAAUAUUACACAGAGAAUCUGGAUUGUGUUGUCUUUGAGAUUUUUAACUGCAGAAAAAUAUUUGAUUGUAAAAGCUGUUGAGUUAUGCCAAAAUGUAUAUUUUAAAGGUACCUUGACUUCAAAAUUUGGAUAUAAGGAUAUGUUGCUUUGGAAAAGAGUCUCUGCUUUUUUUCCCACAGAAAGCCAAAGGCUAUGGAUUUGUUCCAGAUUAAGAUACAUCAGGUUUGACCAGCCAAGACCCCCUGAAAGGUCUCUGAUGACACCAUGGCCCAGAUGAUCCAACAUCCAGAAUGGUUUGAAGGCAACUGGCUCAGACAAUACAGCCUCAUGGACUAUUCCAUAAUCCUAAAAUUUUCUUUGCAUCCCCAUAAGAUACAGCGCCCCCCUCCAGCAGGAAGUAGUAAGAGAAGCUACGCCCAAAUUCCCAAAUUAUAUGUAAUUUUACUUUGUUAAGGUUAAAACCUUCCUUUUUGAAAAAAAAAGGGGGGGGGGAGUGCUGUGGGAUGUUCUGUAUGGCAAAUGUGUUGCUAAUUAGUCAAUAAAUAAAACACUGAUUGGCCAUUGGCUAGGCAGGAAGUGUAGGCGGGACAAGGAGGAGAAUAAAGCUGGGAAGUGGAAGGCUGAGUCAGAGAGACACUGCCAGCCGCCAUGAUGACAAGCAGCAUGUGAAGAUGCCGGUAAGCCACGAGCCAUGUGGCAAGGUAUAGAUUAAUGGAAAUGGAUUAAUUUAAGCUGUAAGAACAGUUAGCAAGAAGCCUGCCACGGCCAUACAGUUUGUGAGCAAUAUAAGUCUCUGUGUUUACUUGGUCGGGUCUGAGCUGCUGUGGGACUGGCGGGGUGAGGGAGAUUUGUCCUGACCGUGGGCCAGGCAGGAAAAUUCAAGCUAUACAACAGUGUCUGCUUCUUCUUAAUCUUGCACAGAAACCUAAUCAUUAACAUUCUGAAUUCAUUCUUAGUACAGCCAUCCUUCUGUAUUUUCCUCUCUUUCUCCUGGAGUCUUCCUCUGUAAGCUAAAGAACAUCCUCAACAUUCCUAGAUCCUGGGAAGAAGACAUCCUCACAAAACUCAAAAACAUACAGCGAAUACUUAUUGCUUUUCUUUUGGUUUUUCGAGACAGUGUUUCUCUGUGUAGUCUUGGCUGUCUUGGAUCUCAUUCUGUAGACCAAGCUAGCCUCGAAUUCAGAGAUCUGCCUUCCUCUGCCUGCCAAUUGCUGGGAUUAAAGGCGUGCGCCACCAACGCCUGGCUCUAUCAGUUGUUUUUUUAAGUCAAAUAUAAUAUGGCUCAUAAAUCUGAUUUCAGUUCUUAAUUUAAUAUAGAAAUCCCAAUACAAUGAAAUGAUAAAAUAAGGGGGCCAGACAUAAGAAAUAUGACUAAUUUCCACAGCAGAUUUGUAGCAGCCAGCUAACCCAUACUAAACUUAGAUAUUUGAUCAUUUUA